AUAUUAUCUCCUCACAAAAUAAAAGUACAAGUACAAAAGCAGUUCUUGCAGGAUUUGUUGAGAAAUGUAAGGUUAAUCUUAUGGAGCCACGGUGGCUUUCUGGUGUAAGGGAGAUAACCCCACAAUAUGGGGGAUGGGAAGGAGACUUAUGACUGUCAACACAGCUUGUUCGCCAGCCUUUUCACCCAACCAACCCACCACAGGGCGAUCAUAUAGAUUGUCCUUUUAACGCACGUCCAAAUAUGCCGAGAAAUUAUUCGUUUUUCUGUUAAUACCUGAAGUAAAAUAUAGAUUACAACAGAUAAUAUAGAUCUAGUAGAAUAAUUAAAACCAACAUCGACUCAUAGUGCAACUGAUAUUUAGGAAAAGUAUGUAGUCAUCAGUAAACAGAGUAAUGUCAAAGUACUUUUAAAAUGUUAGAUCAACCCGGCAACGAUUAUGUCAAGUCUCACAUUUCCGGCACGUUUUGGUCAGUCACAAAUAACAAACAGCUGCUCGCUGGCCACUGCCGCGAACUUGCAUCUAUCUGUCAAGUUACGUCAUGUUGUGACGUCAUAUAUCGAGCACUGGGUCAUAACACGGCAGGUUUUCGGAGAGGCAGAAGUGCGGGGAACGUGAAUCUUGUAUGAGAUGUAAUGUCAGGAGGGAGGUGACUUGAAGACAGGGACCUAUCAACAAGCCGGGGAUGAAGCUGAACAACAUGGAGCCUCGAGUGACGUGGAGG
Haliotis rubra (blacklip abalone) is the source of this 724-nucleotide long non-coding RNA. RefSeq lists it as uncharacterized. The record is from RefSeq and is a predicted model, not a curated record. NCBI's taxonomy places the organism in Eukaryota, Metazoa, Mollusca, Gastropoda, Lepetellida, Haliotidae. The transcript is spliced from 3 exons.